This 482-nucleotide ribosomal RNA is filed under the name uncultured bacterium. RNAcentral's name for it is "partial 16S ribosomal RNA". It matches the Rfam family "Bacterial small subunit ribosomal RNA", at positions 30 to 507 of the family's 1533-position model. The record is from RNAcentral.
AUUGAACGCUGGCGGCAUGCCUUACACAUGCAAGUCGAACGGUAACGGGCCUUCGGGUGCCGACGAGUGGCGAACGGGUGAGUAAUACAUCGGAACGUGCCCGAUCGUGGGGGAUAACGAGGCGAAAGCUUUGCUAAUACCGCAUACGAUCUACGGAUGAAAGCAGGGGACCGCAAGGCCUUGCGCGGACGGAGCGGCCGAUGGCAGAUUAGGUAGUUGGUGGGAUAAAAGCUUACCAAGCCGACGAUCUGUAGCUGGUCUGAGAGGAUGAUCAGCCACACUGGGACUGAGACACGGCCCAGGCUCCUACGGGAGGCAGCAGUGGGGAAUUUUGGACAAAGGGCGCAAGCCUGAUCCAGCCAUGCCGCGUGCAGGAUGAAGGCCUUCGGGUUGUAAACUGCUUUUGUACGGAACGAAAAGCCUUCUUUUAAUACAGGAGGGUCAUGACGGUACCGUAAGAAUAAGCACCGGCUAACUACGUG